Molecule: ribosomal RNA, 427 nt
Filed under: uncultured bacterium
Lineage: Bacteria
Description: partial 16S ribosomal RNA
Rfam family: Bacterial small subunit ribosomal RNA
Source: RNAcentral
UGGGGAAUAUUACACAAUGGGCGCAAGCCUGAUGCAGCCAUGCCGCGUGUAUGAAGAAGGCCUUCGGGUUGUAAAGUACUUUCAGCGAGGAGGAAGGCGAUGCGGUUAAUAACCGUGUCGAUUGACGUUACUCGCAGAAGAAGCACCGGCUAACUCCGUGCCAGCAGCCGCGGUAAUACGGAGGGUGCAAGCGUUAAUCGGAAUUACUGGGCGUAAAGCGCACGCAGGCGGUCUGUCAAGUCGGAUGUGAAAUCCCCGGGCUCAACCUGGGAACUGCAUUCGAAACUGGCAGGCUUGAGUCUUGUAGAGGGGGGUAGAAUUCCAGGUGUAGCGGUGAAAUGCGUAGAGAUCUGGAGGAAUACCGGUGGCGAAGGCGGCCCCCUGGACAAAGACUGACGCUCAGGUGCGAAAGCGUGGGGAGCAAACA